RNAcentral lists this ribosomal RNA (464 nucleotides) under uncultured bacterium. Its description in RNAcentral is "partial 16S ribosomal RNA". It matches the Rfam family "Bacterial small subunit ribosomal RNA", at positions 28 to 507 of the family's 1533-position model. The record is from RNAcentral.
GACGAACGCUGGCGGCGUGCUUAACACAUGCAAGUCGAACGGUAAGGCCCUUUCGGGGGUCCACGAGUGGCGAACGGGUGAGUAACACGUGGGUGAUCUGCCCUGCACUUUGGGAUAAGCCUGGGAAACUGGGUCUAAUACCGGAUAGGACUACGCGAUGCAUGUCGUGUGGUGGAAAGCUUUUGCGGUGUGGGAUGGGCCCGCGGCCUAUCAGCUUGUUGGUGGGGUGAUGGCCUACCAAGGCGACGACGGGUAGCCGGCCUGAGAGGGUGUCCGGCCACACUGGGACUGAGAUACGGCCCAGACUCCUACGGGAGGCAGCAGUGGGGAAUAGUGCACAAUGGGCGCAAGCCUGAUGCAGCGACGCCGCGUGGGGGAUGACGGCCUUCGGGUUGUAAACCCCUUUCAGCACAGACGAAGCGUAAGUGACGGUAUGUGCAGAAGAAGCACCGGCCAACUACGUG